RNAcentral lists this long non-coding RNA (206 nucleotides) under Trifolium pratense (red clover). RNAcentral describes it as "long non-coding RNA (TPRA_LNC008507)". The record is from RNAcentral. Lineage: Eukaryota; Viridiplantae; Streptophyta; Magnoliopsida; Fabales; Fabaceae.
CAAUUGGUAUCUAGAGCUUUGGUCUGUUACUUUCACUUAACAGUGAGACAGUAAAGAUCUUGUGAGAACACUAUGUCUGGAGGAGACGAUAGUAGUACUAGAACAACCGGUGAAGCCGGUGAGGCCAGUGGAGCUGGUGGUGGUCCUACAAAUGCUUUUGGUUUUGACUACUUAAGUAAUGAAUCACAUGAACAUAGUGGCAAUAG